This 429-nucleotide ribosomal RNA is filed under the name Pseudomonadota bacterium. RNAcentral describes it as "Proteobacteria bacterium partial 16S ribosomal RNA". It matches the Rfam family "Bacterial small subunit ribosomal RNA", at positions 355 to 776 of the family's 1533-position model. Lineage: Bacteria; Pseudomonadati; Pseudomonadota. The record is from RNAcentral.
UGGGGAAUAUUGGACAAUGGGCGAAAGCCUGAUCCAGCCAUGCCGCGUGUGUGAAGAAGGUCUUCGGAUUGUAAAGCACUUUAAGUUGGGAGGAAGGGCAGUAAGCGAAUACCUUGCUGUUUUGACGUUACCGACAGAAUAAGCACCGGCUAACUCUGUGCCAGCAGCCGCGGUAAUACAGCGGGUGCAAGCGUUAAUCGGAAUUACUGGGCGUAAAGCGUGCGUAGGUGGUUCGUUAAGUUGAAUGUGAAAGCCCCGGGCUCAACCUGGGAACUGCUUCCAAAACUGGCGAGCUCGAGUAGGGCAGAGUGUGGUGGAAUUUCCUGUGUAGCGGUGAAAUGCGUAGAUAUAGGAAGGAACACCAGUGGCGAAGGCGACCACCUGGGCUCAUACUGACACUGAGGUGCGAAAGCGUGGGGAGCAAACAGG